This 253-nucleotide ribosomal RNA is filed under the name uncultured bacterium. RNAcentral describes it as "partial 16S ribosomal RNA". It matches the Rfam family "Bacterial small subunit ribosomal RNA", at positions 524 to 776 of the family's 1533-position model. The record is from RNAcentral.
UACGUAGGGGGCUAGCGUUGUCCGGAAUCAUUGGGCGUAAAGGGCUCGUAGGCGGCCAACUAAGUCGGAUGUGAAAUCCCCAGGCUCAACUUGGGAACUGCAUCCGAUACUGGAUGGCUUGAAUUCGGGAGAGGGAUGCAGAAUUCCAGGUGUAGCGGUGAAAUGCGUAGAUAUCUGGAGGAAUACCGGUGGCGAAGGCGGCAUCCUGGACCGACAUUGACGCUGAGGAGCGAAAGCUAGGGGAGCAAACGGG